CAGACUCACUGUCCAUGCAGAUGGCUCUUCUUUCACCUCCACAAUGUUGCUUGGUUUGGCUGCUGAGGGUGGGACGGUUUCAUUCUGACCAAGCACUAUCACACGACACCAGGGAUGAGCUGAGUCCUCAUACUGAAAUAUCUUCCUGGGUGGAUGCUUGUCAAUUUUUGUGUUGGUAUUUAUUUGGAGACUGCCUGUUUCACUUCCUUCCAUAGUCGUGGUCUGCUGGGGUUUUGCCUGGACGCAAAAAUCAGGUUGCUGAAAACUCAGGCAAUCAGAUGUGCUGGGUCUUCUUCACUGAUAUCAAUCUCCCUGAGAAUCAUUUGGCUGCCAAAGAUACUGCUGACUUCUGUAUAGGACAGCUGGUGGGCUAGAAUUCCCUCCCCAUCAGAGUGUAGCUAUUGAAAGCCUACAGGUCCUGUGCUCUUUCUGCUGUGUACCCCUUUCGUGUUAGAAGUCCCUGAGCCCUAAAGGGAAGGGAUUGAUAGCAACACUCCAUUUAAGGAAGAGUGUGCCAAGGUUUCUCACUCACUGUGCGAUUACUGGCUGUGGGAAACUAGAAAAAAAUCAUCCUGAUUGAGAUGAGGUGAUGCCCUGGAAUGACUAGUGAAGAGGGAGAUGGGGUCUCCUCUGCAGUGCAGAGUGCUGGAUUUCCUCAGGUCCCAUGAUGGUUUUGUUUAUGUGGGAUCUCCCUGUCUGCCUCUACAUUU
RNAcentral lists this long non-coding RNA (710 nucleotides) under Rattus norvegicus (Norway rat). Its description in RNAcentral is "long non-coding RNA NONRATT012324". The record is from RNAcentral. Lineage: Eukaryota; Metazoa; Chordata; Mammalia; Rodentia; Muridae.